CUCUGACUCGGAGCGGCGGCGGCUCCGCUACACUUGACGACGACUUCUCCGUCGCGGCUGUUGUUGUUGUUAGCUCUCGCCGACGCCGGAGAUUCGGAGACGGGAGUCAAGCCUUUGGACUGGUUCUGAAGCUCGUCCAUGCUCAGGUCAUUGUUAGCCCUCGCCGCCGCCGGAGAUUCGGAGACGGAAGUCAAGCCUUUGGACUGGUUCUGAAGCUCGUCCAUGCUCAGGUCCAUGUCGAGGGAAAUCUCGCCGGAGGCUUGCUGUUUGUGGAGGAACUGACCGAUGAGCUUCAUCGGAGGAUCAUCGCCGCCGCGUCGGAACUCGAACGGCUCGCUGUCUUUGCCUUCCUCGGAGGCCGCGGCGGAGGAUCUCUCGCCUUCGGGGGGGUUGACGCCUUUGUGGAGGUUGCCGUCGUGGCCGUCGGUCCAGAAAUCGUAGCUUCCGCCUCUCCAUAUUAGCCUUCGGGGGGGUUGACGCCUUUGUGGAGGUUGCCGUCGUGGCCGUCGGUCCAGAAAUCGUAGCUUCCGUCUCUCCAUAUCUUGCCGGGAGUCUCGCCGGAUGCUCCAUUGGUGGUGGUUGCGUUCUCGGGAUGAUCGUUGAUUUUGAGGAUGACUUCUCGCCGGUCAGUCGAAUCA
Molecule: long non-coding RNA, 638 nt
Filed under: Brassica napus (rape)
Lineage: Eukaryota; Viridiplantae; Streptophyta; Magnoliopsida; Brassicales; Brassicaceae
Description: long non-coding RNA (BNAP_LNC019343)
Source: RNAcentral